Molecule: ribosomal RNA, 400 nt
Filed under: uncultured bacterium
Lineage: Bacteria
Description: bacterial SSU rRNA
Rfam family: Bacterial small subunit ribosomal RNA
Source: RNAcentral
UAGGGAAUCUUCCGCAAUGGACGCAAGUCUGACGGAGCAACGCCGCGUGAGUGAUGAAGGUUUUCGGAUCGUAAAGCUCUGUUGCCAAGGAAGAACGCCUUGGAGAGUAACUGCUCUGAGGGUGACGGUACUUGAGAAGAAAGCCCCGGCUAACUACGUGCCAGCAGCCGCGGUAAUACGUAGGGGGCAAGCGUUGUCCGGAAUUAUUGGGCGUAAAGCGCGCGCAGGCGGCCGCUUAAGUUUGGUGUUUAAGCCCGGGGCUCAACCCCGGUUCGCACCGAAAACUGGGCGGCUUGAGUGCAGGAGAGGAAAGCGGAAUUCCACGUGUAGCGGUGAAAUGCGUAGAGAUGUGGAGGAACACCAGUGGCGAAGGCGGCUUUCUGGACUGUAACUGACGCUG